GAUGAACGCUGGCGGCGUGCCUAAUACAUGCAAGUCGAGCGAACGGACGAGAAGCUUGCUUCUCUGAUGUUAGCGGCGGACGGGUGAGUAACACGUGGAUAACCUACCUAUAAGACUGGGAUAACUUCGGGAAACCGGAGCUAAUACCGGAUAAUAUUUUGAACCGCAUGGUUCAAAAGUGAAAGACGGUCUUGCUGUCACUUAUAGAUGGAUCCGCGCUGCAUUAGCUAGUUGGUAAGGUAACGGCUUACCAAGGCAACGAUGCAUAGCCGACCUGAGAGGGUGAUCGGCCACACUGGAACUGAGACACGGUCCAGACUCCUACGGGAGGCAGCAGUAGGGAAUCUUCCGCAAUGGGCGAAAGCCUGACGGAGCAACGCCGCGUGAGUGAUGAAGGUCUUCGGAUCGUAAAACUCUGUUAUUAGGGAAGAACAUAUGUGUAAGUAACUGUGCACAUCUUGACGGUACCUAAUCAGAAAGCCACGGCUAACUACGUGCCAGCAGCCGCGGUAAUACGUAGGUGGCAAGCGUUAUCCGGAAUUAUUGGGCGUAAAGCGCGCAUAGGCGGUUUUUUAAGUCUGAUGUGAAAGCCCACGGCUCAACCGUGGAGGGUCAUUGGAAACUGGAAAACUUGAGUGCAGAAGAGGAAAGUGGAAUUCCAUGUGUAGCGGUGAAAUGCGCAGAGAUAUGGAGGAACACCAGUGGCGAAGGCGACUUUCUGGUCUGUAACUGACGCUGAUGUGCGAAAGCGUGGGGAUCAAACAGGAUUAGAUACCCUGGUAGUCCACGCCGUAAACGAUGAGUGCUAAGUGUUAGGGGGUUUCCGCCCCUUAGUGCUGCAGCUAACGCAUUAAGCACUCCGCCUGGGGAGUACGACCGCAAGGUUGAAACUCAAAGGAAUUGACGGGGACCCGCACAAGCGGUGGAGCAUGUGGUUUAAUUCGAAGCAACGCGAAGAACCUUACCAAAUCUUGACAUCCUUUGACAACUCUAGAGAUAGAGCUUUCCCCUUCGGGGGACAAAGUGACAGGCGGUGCAUGGUUGUCGUCAGCUCGUGUCGUGAGAUGUUGGGUUAAGUCCCGCAACGAGCGCAACCCUUAAGCUUAGUUGCCAUCAUUAAGUUGGGCACUCUAAGUUGACUGCCGGUGACAAACCGGAGGAAGGUGGGGAUGACGUCAAAUCAUCAUGCCCCUUAUGAUUUGGGCUACACACGUGCUACAAUGGACAAUACAAAGGGCAGCGAAACCGCGAGGUCAAGCAAAUCCCAUAAAGUUGUUCUCAGUUCGGAUUGUAGUCUGCAACUCGACUACAUGAAGCUGGAAUCGCUAGUAAUCGUAGAUCAGCAUGUUACGGUGAAUACGUUCCCGGGUCU
Molecule: ribosomal RNA, 1372 nt
Filed under: uncultured bacterium
Lineage: Bacteria
Description: bacterial SSU rRNA
Rfam family: Bacterial small subunit ribosomal RNA
Source: RNAcentral